Molecule: long non-coding RNA, 382 nt
Organism: Ctenopharyngodon idella (grass carp)
Lineage: Eukaryota; Metazoa; Chordata; Actinopteri; Cypriniformes; Xenocyprididae
Exons: 3
Source: RefSeq, a predicted model, not a curated record
ACAGUUUUCUCCUGAUUAAGUAUAGAAUAGAAAGCAGCAUGAAGUUCAUUUUUAAGAGCCGCUGUCUGAGGGUAUACACCCUCGAAGACAAUUGUAAUUUCUAUGGGUGGACCAGUUGUUGUAAUAAGCAGAGAUCAUUGCAGCCAUAUGCAGCUGCUUCAGAGGAGUUGCCACCACUGGGUUUGGCUGGGCAGGGGCAACUUUUACUCCCUCCUGCACAUCAUGAGACUGCAAUACUGCUGCUUGCAGGCUCAGAGAUGCGGACAUCCUUGCCCUCCACUAUGAGGCUUGCUUUGGAAACACUUGCACCAGCUACCACAGAGAACUCUCCGGCAUCAGACAUGCGAACUGUCUGGAUCAUCAAACGCUGCAGGAAUUUGUC